CCUACGGGAGGCAGCAGUGAGGAAUAUUGGUCAAUGGCCGUAAGGCUGAACCAGCGAAGUCGCGUGAAGGAAGGAGGAUCUAUGGUUUGUAAACUUCUUUUAUAGGGGAAUAAAGGUAUCCACGUGUGGAUAUUUGCAUGUACCCUAUGAAUAAGCAUCGGCUAACUCCGUGCCAGCAGCCGCGGUAAUACGGAGGAUGCGAGCGUUAUCCGGAUUUAUUGGGGUUAAAGGGUGCGUAGGUUGUUUCUUAAGUCGGCGGUGAAAGUUUGGGGCUCAACCAUCACAUGGCCUUUGAAACUGGAAGACUUGAGUGUGUUUGAGGGAGGCGGAAUGCGUGGUGUAGCGGUGAAAUGCAUAGAUAUCACGCAGAACACUGAUUGCGAAGGCAGCUUACUAGGCCAUAACUGACGCUGAGGCACGAAAGCGAGGGGAUCAAAAAGGAUUAGAUACCCGAGUAGUC
This 460-nucleotide ribosomal RNA is filed under the name uncultured bacterium. Its description in RNAcentral is "partial 16S ribosomal RNA". It matches the Rfam family "Bacterial small subunit ribosomal RNA", at positions 338 to 795 of the family's 1533-position model. The record is from RNAcentral.